RNAcentral lists this ribosomal RNA (1007 nucleotides) under Sarconesia chlorogaster. RNAcentral's name for it is "eukaryotic LSU rRNA". It matches the Rfam family "Eukaryotic large subunit ribosomal RNA", at positions 51 to 883 of the family's 3401-position model. The record is from RNAcentral. Lineage: Eukaryota; Metazoa; Arthropoda; Insecta; Diptera; Calliphoridae.
GGGAGGAAAAGAAACUAACAAGGAUUUUCUUAGUAGCGGCGAGCGAAAAGAAAAUAGUUCAGCACUAAGUCACUUUGUCUUUAUGGCAAAUGUGAGAUGCAGUGUAUGGAAUGUCAAAUUUCUAGUAUGAGAAAUUAACGAUUUAAGUCCUUCUUAAAUGAGGCCAUUUACCCAAAGAGGGUGCCAGGCCCGUAUAACGUUAAUGAUUACUAGAUGGCAUUUCCAAAGAGUCGUGUUGCUUGAUAGUGCAGCACUAAGUGGGUGGUAAACUCCAUCUAAAACUAAAUAUAACCAUGAGACCGAUAGUAAACAAGUACCGUGAGGGAAAGUUGAAAAGAACUCUGAAUAGAGAGUUAAAUAGUACGUGAAACUGCUUAGAGGUUAAGCCCGAUGAACCUGAAUAUCCGUUAUGGAAAAUUCAUCAUUAUGAUUUUAAUAUUUAUAAUAUUAUAAUAAUGGUGUGCAUUUUUUCUAUAAAGGACAUUGUAAUCUAUUAAUAUAAAUAUAUUUAUCAUAAGAUCUUUUGCGUAAGUUUAUUCAAAUUAUUUUGCUUGCAAUUUAAUAUCGAAUAAAUGCUUUUGAUUUGAUAAAGUGUUGAUAGAUUUAUUAUAUAUAGUGCUUAAAUAUUUAUAUUUUAUAAUAGCAUAUUAAUCAUUGAUUUUUAUGUUUAUUAUAUGCACUUAUAUGAUUAACAAUGCGAAAGAUUCAGGAUACCUUCGGGACCCGUCUUGAAACACGGACCAAGGAGUCUAACAUAUUUGCAAGUUAUUGGGAAUAAAAACCUAAUAGCGUAAUUAACAUAACUUAUAAUGGGAUUAGUUUUUAGCCUAUUUAUAGUCUAUUAAUUCAAUCCCGGGGCGUUCUAUACAGUUAUGUAUAAUAAUAUUUAUAUUAUUUAUACCUCUAACUAGAGCGUACCUUGAGCAUAUAUGCUGUGACCCGAAAGAUGGUGAACUAUACUUGAUCAGGUUGAAGUCAGGGGAAACCCUGAUGGAAGACCGAAACAG